AAACAUUGACGAGUUAUAACCUGACAGGAACAAUCAAACAGCUCAUUGUUACAAAUUUUGUGUGCUCUAGAUUCACAUUAGCAAGUUACAAUUUUCAGGAAUGGGUUAUCUUUGUUACUUCAUAACAAAUAGCAACUAGAAUGGCUAAAAUGAAUUGCUUCAUAUCAGUUAGCAAAUUCAAACUAAUGCAAGUCAUCAGAACUAUACAUCCAAAGCGAUUGUACUGGUUCUCCAAAUCCAACAGACUAAAACAAUAGAAUUUUGGACCUAAAAGAAGAGGGCAAAGACAAAGAAUCAAAGGAAGAUAAAAUCAAGUCUAACAGCAGAACCAAACUAACCUGCAGUCUGCUCAGAGUGA
Molecule: unclassified non-coding RNA, 358 nt
Filed under: Hevea brasiliensis (rubber tree)
Lineage: Eukaryota; Viridiplantae; Streptophyta; Magnoliopsida; Malpighiales; Euphorbiaceae
Source: RNAcentral